UGGGGAAUAUUGGACAAUGGGGGCAACCCUGAUCCAGCCAUGCCGCGUGAGUGAUGAAGGCCUUCGGGUUGUAAAGCUCUUUUGGCGGGGACGAUGAUGACGGUACCCGCAGAAUAAGCCCCGGCUAACUUCGUGCCAGCAGCCGCGGUAAGACGAAGGGGGCUAGCGUUGUUCGGAAUUACUGGGCGUAAAGCGAGUGUAGGCGGUUGCCGUAGUCAGGUGUGAAAGCCUUGAGCUCAACUCAAGAAAUGCACUUGAUACUGGGUGACUAGAGGACCGGAGAGGAUAGUGGAAUUCCCAGUGUAGUGGUGAAAUACGUAGAGAUUGGGAAGAACACCAGUGGCGAAGGCGGCUAUCUGGACGGUUACUGACGCUCAGGUGCGAAAGCGUGGGGAGCAAACAGGAUUAGAUACCCUGGUAGUCCACGCUGUAAACGAUGUCGAUUUGGAGGUUGUGCCCUUGAGGCGUGGCUUCCGGAGCUAACGCGUU
This 489-nucleotide ribosomal RNA is filed under the name uncultured bacterium. RNAcentral's name for it is "partial 16S ribosomal RNA". It matches the Rfam family "Bacterial small subunit ribosomal RNA", at positions 355 to 861 of the family's 1533-position model. The record is from RNAcentral.